This 465-nucleotide ribosomal RNA is filed under the name Vreelandella stevensii. Its description in RNAcentral is "partial 16S ribosomal RNA". It matches the Rfam family "Bacterial small subunit ribosomal RNA", at positions 338 to 795 of the family's 1533-position model. The record is from RNAcentral. Lineage: Bacteria; Pseudomonadati; Pseudomonadota; Gammaproteobacteria; Oceanospirillales; Halomonadaceae.
CCUACGGGUGGCAGCAGUGGGGAGUAUUGGACAAUGGGGGGAACCCUGAUCCAGCCAUGCCGCGUGUGUGAAGAAGGCCCUCGGGUUGUAAAGCACUUUCAGUGAGGAAGAACGCCUGGUGGUUAAUACCCAUCAGGAAAGACAUCACUCACAGAAGAAGCACCGGCUAACUCCGUGCCAGCAGCCGCGGUAAUACGGAGGGUGCGAGCGUUAAUCGGAAUUACUGGGCGUAUAGCGCGCGUAGGUGGCUUGAUAAGCCGGUUGUGAAAGCCCCGGGCUCAACCUGGGAACGGCAUCCGGAACUGUCAAGCUAGAGUGCAGGAGAGGAAGGUAGAAUUCCCGGUGUAGCGGUGAAAUGCGUAGAGAUCGGGAGGAAUACCAGUGGCGAAGGCGGCCUUCUGGACUGACACUGACACUGAGGUGCGAAAGCGUGGGUAGCAAACAGGAUUAGAUACCCCUGUAGUC